Stylophora pistillata is the source of this 389-nucleotide long non-coding RNA. RefSeq lists it as uncharacterized. Lineage: Eukaryota; Metazoa; Cnidaria; Anthozoa; Scleractinia; Pocilloporidae. The record is from RefSeq and is a predicted model, not a curated record.
GGAGUUGGCAUCUCUCCCUAAAACUCAGCGAUACAAGAGGAACGGCCCGUCGUGAAGCUAAACCAACAUGAACGUUAAAUUUAUUCUGGUUUUUACACUUGUCUUUCUCGCAACUUAUUUCGUAGGAGAAAAUGAAGCCUUCACCGCUGGUGGAGGGGGGAAUCUUCCUAAUGGAGGAAGAAAGCGUGACUUAGCGGAGUCUCACCAACUGGCCGGGAGAGCCUUGUGUGCAGCUGCUAGGGAACACUGCAAGCGGGAAUUGAUUUUGGAGGACAUCAGUGAAUGAGGAGGCCUUGGCGAACUGGACUGAACGCAAACUUCCUAUUGUAUCUUGUGACUAUUGUAAAAUCGCCCAUUAAUUAAUAAAGAGUGAAAUAAGUAAUCUUUAA